This 462-nucleotide ribosomal RNA is filed under the name Ochromonas sp. CCMP1393. Its description in RNAcentral is "partial Bacterial small subunit ribosomal RNA". It matches the Rfam family "Bacterial small subunit ribosomal RNA", at positions 1069 to 1532 of the family's 1533-position model. Lineage: Eukaryota; Chrysophyceae; Chromulinales; Chromulinaceae. The record is from RNAcentral.
GAGAUGUUGGGUUAAGUCCCGCAACGAGCGCAACCCUCGUUUUUAGUUGCCAGCAUUAAGUUGGGCACUCUAGAGAGACUGCCGGUGACAAACCGGAGGAAGGUGGGGAUGACGUCAAGUCCUCAUGGCCCUUAUGUCUGGGGCUACACACGUGCUACAAUGGCGUCCACAGAGGGCAGCGAAGCCGCAAGGUCGAGCAAAUCCCAAAAAAGACGCCUCAGUUCGGAUUGGAGUCUGCAACUCGACUCCAUGAAGCUGGAAUCGCUAGUAAUCGCGGAUCAGCAUGCCGCGGUGAAUACGUUCCCGGGCCUUGUACACACCGCCCGUCACACCACGAGAGUUGGUCGCGCCCGAAGCCGUGACCCCAACCGCAAGGAGGGGAGCGUCUACGGCGAGGUCGGCGAUUGGGGUGAAGUCGUAACAAGGUAGCCGUAGGGGAACCUGUGGCUGGAUCACCUCCUU